CGCGUAGGCGGCUUUGUAAGUCACUUGUGAAAUCUCCGGGCUUAACUCGGAACGGCCAAGUGAUACUGCAAUGCUAGAGUGCAGAAGGGGCAAUCGGAAUUCUUGGUGUAGCGGUGAAAUGCGUAGAUAUCAAGAGGAACACCUGAGGUGAAGACGGGUUGCUGGGCUGACACUGACGCUGAGGCGCGAAAGCCAGGGGAGCAAACGGGAUUAGAUACCCCGGUAGUCCUGGCCCUAAACGAUGAAUACUUGGUGUCUGGAGUAAUUUGUGCUCCGGGUGCCGUCGCUAACGUUUUUAGUAUUCCGCCUGGGGAGUACGCUCGCAAGAGUGAA
This 333-nucleotide ribosomal RNA is filed under the name uncultured Acidobacteriota bacterium. RNAcentral's name for it is "bacterial SSU rRNA". It matches the Rfam family "Bacterial small subunit ribosomal RNA", at positions 568 to 898 of the family's 1533-position model. Lineage: Bacteria; Pseudomonadati; Acidobacteriota. The record is from RNAcentral.